RNAcentral lists this ribosomal RNA (548 nucleotides) under uncultured bacterium. RNAcentral describes it as "bacterial SSU rRNA". It matches the Rfam family "Bacterial small subunit ribosomal RNA", at positions 355 to 895 of the family's 1533-position model. The record is from RNAcentral.
UAGGGAAUCUUCGGCAAUGGGGGCAACCCUGACCGAGCAACGCCGCGUGAGUGAAGAAGGUUUUCGGAUCGUAAAGCUCUGUUGUAAGAGAAGAACGAGUGUGAGAGUGGAAAGUUCACACUGUGACGGUAACUUACCAGAAAGGGACGGCUAACUACGUGCCAGCAGCCGCGGUAAUACGUAGGUCCCGAGCGUUAUCCGGAUUUAUUGGGCGUAAAGCGAGCGCAGGCGGUUAGAUAAGUCUGAAGUUAAAGGCUGUGGCUUAACCAUAGUACGCUUUGGAAACUGUUUAACUUGAGUGCAGAAGGGGAGAGUGGAAUUCCAUGUGUAGCGGUGAAAUGCGUAGAUAUAUGGAGGAACACCGGUGGCGAAAGCGGCUCUCUGGUCUGUAACUGACGCUGAGGCUCGAAAGCGUGGGGAGCAAACAGGAUUAGAUACCCUGGUAGUCCACGCCGUAANGNNNAGUGCUAGGUGUUGGGUCCUUUCCGGGACUCAGUGCCGCAGCUAACGCAUUAAGCACUCCGCCUGGGGAGUACGACCGCAAGGUU